UGUGUGUGUGCGCCAGGGGCAGGCCACAGCUGUUAACCUGAAUCCCUCUCUUUCUCUCUCCCUAACAUCCCCUCCUCUCUCACCUGGCUCCCCAGGCCUCCUGGCUGCUGAUGCUGCUGCUGCUGCCCAGCUGUGUGUGGCCUGCCUGGGCCAGCCUGGCCUGUGAUUACUGGCCAUCUGCAGCAGCAGGAGCCACCCUGAGGACAGACAGCUCUCUAACCCCUGCCUAAAGGCCAGCUCAUCUCUGUGGCUGAGCCCACCUGCUCAGCGUUGAGAUCGUUAUGGUGAGAACGGGUGGUGCCAGAUUACUGUGACCUGCAGCCCCCUCCAGAUGGACGCUCUCCCAGCUGGCGAACUCCUUUUAAGGAGCUCCAUUAUUACCAUGCCGCUCUUUGGUUAGGUUACACACACACACACACACACACACACACACACACACACACACACACACACACACACACACACACACACACACACACACACACACACACACACACACACACACACGGGAUGUACAGUACACAAGCACUUGCGUACAAACACACCCAUACACACAUUCCUUUGUGCCCAUCUCCUUGCCAUCUCAGAGGAGGCAGUGCGGGUGGGCUGCAGCAGCAGUAGACAGCUGGAGGGGAGAGCAGGAGGUGAACAUUUCACCAGAGGAAUGUGUGUGUAGCUGUACCUUCAACAGCAGGAGUGUUAAUGAAGCGGCCCACAGACACCCACCCACACAUUUACUCCUCACAGCGUCCCUGCCAGCCACCACCCUGCCAACCGGCUCUGUCACUCUGACUCACUCCCUGCUAUGUGUCUCAGACCUGGCUGUGCUACACGCAGGCUGAUAGGUAGCCUCUUUCCUGUAGUCAAAUCACCUGGUGGCCUCAUGGGUGGAAUAUUAUUCAUAUUUUUCAUAAUCAAUAAACAUGAUUUUUUUUAAAGAU
Molecule: non-coding RNA, 941 nt
Organism: Salmo salar (Atlantic salmon)
Lineage: Eukaryota; Metazoa; Chordata; Actinopteri; Salmoniformes; Salmonidae
Source: RefSeq, a predicted model, not a curated record